Molecule: ribosomal RNA, 510 nt
Filed under: uncultured bacterium
Lineage: Bacteria
Description: partial 16S ribosomal RNA
Rfam family: Bacterial small subunit ribosomal RNA
Source: RNAcentral
GACGAACGCUGGCGGCGUGCUUAACACAUGCAAGUCGAACGAAGAGCGAUGGAAGCUUGCUUCUAUCAAUCUUAGUGGCGAACGGGUGAGUAACGCGUAAUCAACCUGCCCUUCAGAGGGGGACAACAGUUGGAAACGACUGCUAAUACCGCAUACGAUCUAACCUCGGCAUCGAGGAAAGAUGAAAGGUGGCCUCUAUGUAUAAGCUAUCACUGAAGGAGGGGAUUGCGUCUGAUUAGCUAGUUGGAGGGGUAACGGCCCACCAAGGCGAUGAUCAGUAGCCGGUCUGAGAGGAUGAACGGCCACAAUGGGACUGAGACACGGCCCAGACUCCUACGGGGGGCAGCAGUGGGGAAUCUUCCGCAAUGGACGAAAGUCUGACGGAGCAACGCCGCGUGAGUGAUGACGGCCUUCGGGUUGUAAAGCUCUGUUAAUCGGGACGAAAGGCCUUCUUGCGAAUAGGGAGAAGGAUUGACGGUACCGGAAUAGAAAGCCACGGCUAACUACGUG